AGUGACUGAAAGUGAAAGGAAAUGUGACUGAAUGAGAAAAAAAUGAAUGAGUAUACUUGAAGGACUCCAGUACAAAUCACUAAACAUGACCAGUGCUUUCAAUUUAACAAAGAGUCAGAUUAACAACUAAGGUACAAUAGGUUUUAUUUUUAUUUCAUUAUAAAUAGAGAUGUACAGAUGAAGGCCAAUACUGAGGUUCCUUCCCAGGAGCCUGUCACAGUAAACUCUUGUCCAUUCGAACCCACAGUUAUCUUUUUCUGCCAGCAUCCUUCAACAUAGACAUGUGGACUUCUGAAGACCAAUUCAGACAACUUCACACCAUUCACCCAGCAGCUGAAGCCGGCAGCUGUAGAAGCAGCAACAGUAGACACAGCACACAGAAAACAGGAUUAAGAAGCGUCCCUAAAUGCAAUUGUGUCUAACAAGAUGACAGCAUGACAAGGUGAUGUCUUACCUUCACGGCAAACUCUGCUUCUGUGGAUUUGUGUACACACCUCUUGCAUACUGAAUGCAUCCUUACCUGGACAAUGGGGUGAACUGUGAUUUUGUGGACUUCUUGCUGUGGAGGCUCCUGCACCAAGUUGGAUGCAACAAAGCUGAAUCCCCUGAAGAGAUUAUGAGCGUUGGCACUUGGAGGGACGCCUGGGGAAUCUGCAGAGGAGCUUCCAACUGAAUUGGGGGGAAAAGAACGGAGCUGCAUUUUAAUUUGGUGAUGUGAACCUAGCCUAUGUCAUCCAAUCACCUGAAGACUUUACCACUCUCCUGUUUCCCUGGAUUUCUGAAUAGAUGCAGAUGUGUUGGAAAUUCUUGUCCGCACUACAGUUUCUCUCCAUGCUAGUAUUACUCCAGAUUCUAUAGAGCCGAACUGGUGUGGGAAAAUAUCACAGUAUGGACUCCUUCCAUGUAAUCUGGUCGUUUCACAAAAUACUGGAGGCAUAGAAAGGAACAUUGCUGUAGCAGCAACCGU
Lacerta agilis (Sand lizard) is the source of this 967-nucleotide long non-coding RNA. RefSeq lists it as uncharacterized. The transcript is spliced from 4 exons. The record is from RefSeq and is a predicted model, not a curated record. NCBI's taxonomy places the organism in Eukaryota, Metazoa, Chordata, Lepidosauria, Squamata, Lacertidae.